UACGUAGGGUGCGAGCGUUGUCCGGAAUUACUGGGCGUAAAGAGCUCGUAGGUGGUUUGUCACGUCGUCUGUGAAAUUCCGGGGCUUAACCUCGGGCGUGCAGGCGAUACGGGCAAUACUUGAGUGCUGUAGGGGAGACUGGAAUUCCUGGUGUAGCGGUGAAAUGCGCAGAUAUCAGGAGGAACACCAAUGGCGAAGGCAGGUCUCUGGGCAGUUACUGACGCUGAGGCGCGAAAGCGUGGGGAGCAAACAGGAUUAGAUA
Molecule: ribosomal RNA, 262 nt
Filed under: uncultured prokaryote
Description: partial 16S ribosomal RNA
Rfam family: Bacterial small subunit ribosomal RNA
Source: RNAcentral